RNAcentral lists this ribosomal RNA (501 nucleotides) under uncultured bacterium. Its description in RNAcentral is "partial 16S ribosomal RNA". It matches the Rfam family "Bacterial small subunit ribosomal RNA", at positions 30 to 523 of the family's 1533-position model. The record is from RNAcentral.
AUUGAACGCUGGCGGCAGGCUUAACACAUGCAAGUCGAGCGGGCGAGGUUGCUUCGGUAACUGAGCUAGCGGCGGACGGGUGAGUAAUGCUUAGGAAUCUGCCUAUUAGUGGGGGACGACAUUCCGAAAGGAAUGCUAAUACCGCAUACGCCCUACGGGGGAAAGCAGGGGAUCUUCGGACCUUGCGCUAAUAGAUGAGCCUAAGUCAGAUUAGCUAGUUGGUGGGGUAAAGGCCUACCAAGGCGACGAUGUGUAGCGGGUCUGAGAGGAUGAUCCGCCACACUGGGACUGAGACACGGCCCAGACUCCUACGGGAGGCAGCAGUGGGGAAUAUUGGACAAUGGGCGAAAGUCUGAUCCAGCCAUGCCGCGUGUGUGAAGAAGGCCUUUUGGUUGUAAAGCACUUUAAGCGAGGAGGAGGAUACCUGGAUUAAUACUCUAGGAUAGUGGACGUUACUCGCAGAAUAAGCACCGGCUAACUCUGUGCCAGCAGCCGCAGUAA